This 235-nucleotide ribosomal RNA is filed under the name uncultured bacterium. RNAcentral describes it as "partial 16S ribosomal RNA". It matches the Rfam family "Bacterial small subunit ribosomal RNA", at positions 96 to 334 of the family's 1533-position model. The record is from RNAcentral.
UGGCGGACGGGUGAGUAAUGUCUGGGAAACUGCCUGAUGGAGGGGGAUAACUACUGGAAACGGUAGCUAAUACCACAUAACGUCGCAAGACCAAAGAGGGGGACCUUCGGGCCUCUUGCCAUCGGAUGUGCCCAGAUGGGAUUAGCUAGUAGGUGGGGUAACGGCUCACCUAGGCGACGAUCCCUAGCUGGUCUGAGAGGAUGACCAGCCACACUGGAACUGAGACACGGUCCAG